UACGUAGGGGGCAAGCGUUGUCCGGAUUUAUUGGGCGUAAAGAGCGUGUAGGCGGCCAUACAGGUCAGCUGUGAAAACUCGAGGCUCAACCUCGAGACGUCGGUUGAAACCGUAUGGCUAGAGUCCGGAAGAGGAGAGUGGAAUUCCCGGUGUAGCGGUGAAAUGCGCAGAUAUCGGGAGGAACACCAGUGGCGAAGGCGGUUGCCUGGGGCUUUGCUGACGCUGAUGCGCGAAAGCGUGGGGAGCGAUCCGG
Molecule: ribosomal RNA, 253 nt
Filed under: uncultured bacterium
Lineage: Bacteria
Description: partial 16S ribosomal RNA
Rfam family: Bacterial small subunit ribosomal RNA
Source: RNAcentral